Molecule: long non-coding RNA, 437 nt
Organism: Papaver somniferum (opium poppy)
Lineage: Eukaryota; Viridiplantae; Streptophyta; Magnoliopsida; Ranunculales; Papaveraceae
Exons: 2
Source: RefSeq, a predicted model, not a curated record
AACAGAGUCGAUUGUGCUAAUGGAUGAAGAAGAGCUUAAGGAGUGGGUUGCGCAGGUCGUGCUUGGUCUUCUCUUUACUUUUGUUUUUAUGCCUGAGGGUGGGAACGAUCUCAUGCAAAUAUGUUUUAGGCAACAAGAUGAUGAACUGGAUGAGUUAAGUGCAAGUGUGCAAAGAAUUGGAGGUGUGGGGCUUACUAAACACGAGGAACUUACAGGACGCAGAGGAACUUGUUACUCCUAGUUUGAGUGAACUUUGCCCAUCUCCUUCUGAUGUAAAGGAACUGAGUCUUUGUACUCCUGGUUUGAGUAAUUAAACUUCGCCCAUCUUGUUAAAGGAUCUGUAAUUUUGUACCCCUUGAUUUGAGUUAAACAAGUAGACAGAAAUGUGUAAAUUCUAUUUGUUUCUGGUUCAGAAAUGAAUUUAAUUCAGUGAGCAA